Molecule: ribosomal RNA, 763 nt
Filed under: Cliomegalaria symmictoides
Lineage: Eukaryota; Fungi; Ascomycota; Lecanoromycetes; Lecanorales; Ramalinaceae
Description: SSU rRNA
Rfam family: Bacterial small subunit ribosomal RNA
Source: RNAcentral
AGCUAUUGCUAUUUGUGUAGUACUACACAAAAUCGACUAUGUCGAAUAAAAUUCUGGUUAGAUUAUGAUUAUGACAUUUUCUAGCCAUGUGUCUUGACCAAAUUACGUGCCAGCAGUCGCGGUAAUACGUAGAAGACUAGUGUUAUUCAUCUUUAAUAGGUUUAAAGGGUACUUAGACGGUAAACCAAGCCGUAACAGGGACUAGUUUGCUAGAGUUACUUACAAGGGGGCUUUAAAGUACUAAUGGUGUAGAGAUAAAAUUCUGUAAUACCUUUCUUACUAACGAGACUAAUGGCACUGGUAAAAGCGAAGGCAUCCUCCUAUGUGAUAACUGACGUUGAAGGACGAAGGCUUUGGAUCGCGAGAAGGAUUAGAUACCCUAAUAGUCGAAGCAGAAAAUGAUGAGUGUCAUAGAUUAGAUAGUAUGGUUUAUUCUAUAAAUGAAAGUGUAAGCACUCCACCUCAAGAGUAAUAUGGCAACAUAGGAACUGAAAUCAUUAGACCGUUUCUGAAACCAGUAGUGAAGUAUGUUGUUUAAUUUGAUAAUCCGCAAAAAACCUUACCACAACUUGAAUAUUUAUAUAUCUUAUAUAUUUACAAGCGUUGCACGGCUGUCUUCAGUUAAUGUCGUGAGACUUUGGUUAGAUCCAUUAAAUUAACGCAAGCCCUUACUUUAUUUUUAUAUAAAGUAGUUCCCCACUAUAGUGGAUAUGAUAACAGGGACUAAGACAAGUCAUCAUGGCCUAAAUGUUGUGGGCUAUAG